GUGUGGCUGCGCCGUUUACGCAGACACGCCGGUCUGCUGGUAGGCGCCCGUACGGCACGGGGCGCAAGAGACGAAAGGC
This is a regulatory RNA element of Olsenella profusa F0195, 79 nucleotides long. It matches the Rfam family "aspS RNA". NCBI's taxonomy places the organism in Bacteria, Bacillati, Actinomycetota, Coriobacteriia, Coriobacteriales, Atopobiaceae. The record is from Rfam.